GCUGGGAAUAGAGGCAUACUCCUGUAAUCCCAGGGACUUGGGAGGCUGAGGCAGGAGGAUUGCAAGUUUGAAAACAGCCUCAGGAACUUAGUGAUGCCCUAAGCAACUUAGCAAGACCCUGUCUUAU
RNAcentral lists this small RNA (127 nucleotides) under Marmota monax (woodchuck). The record is from RNAcentral. Lineage: Eukaryota; Metazoa; Chordata; Mammalia; Rodentia; Sciuridae.